This 725-nucleotide ribosomal RNA is filed under the name uncultured bacterium. RNAcentral's name for it is "bacterial SSU rRNA". It matches the Rfam family "Bacterial small subunit ribosomal RNA", at positions 57 to 824 of the family's 1533-position model. The record is from RNAcentral.
GCAAGUCGAACGAGUCAUUCGUGGAAACUUAGUGGCGGACGGGUGAGUAACGCGUGGGUACCUGCCCUGUACAGGGGGACAACAGCUGGAAACGGCUGCUAAUACCGCAUAAGACUGCAUGGUAAAAGGAGUAAUCGUACAGGAUGGACCCGCGUCUGAUUAGCCAGUUGGCAGGGUAACGGCCUACCAAAGCGACGAUCAGUAGCCGAUCUGAGAGGAUGUACGGCCACAUUGGGACUGAGACACGGCCCAGACUCCUACGGGAGGCAGCAGUGGGGAAUAUUGCACAAUGGAGGAAACUCUGAUGCAGCGACGCCGCGUGAGUGAAGAAGUAUUUCGGUAUGUAAAGCUCUAUCAGCAAGGAAGAAAAUGACGGUACCUGACUAAGAAGCACCGGCUAAAUACGUGCCAGCAGCCGCGGUAAUACGUAUGGUGCAAGCGUUAUCCGGAUUUACUGGGUGUAAAGGGAGCGUAGGUGGCAAGGCAAGCCAGAAGUGAAAACCCGGGGCUCAACCGCGGGAUUGCUUUUGGAACUGUCAUGCUAGAGUGCAGGAGGGGUGAGCGGAAUUCCUAGUGUAGCGGUGAAAUGCGUAGAUAUUAGGAGGAACACCGGAGGCGAAGGCGGCUCACUGGACUGUAACUGACACUGAGGCUCGAAAGCGUGAGGAGCAAACAGGAUUAGAUACCCUGGUAGUCCACGCGGUAAACGAUGAAUACUAGAUGUC